RNAcentral lists this ribosomal RNA (253 nucleotides) under uncultured bacterium. RNAcentral describes it as "partial 16S ribosomal RNA". It matches the Rfam family "Bacterial small subunit ribosomal RNA", at positions 524 to 776 of the family's 1533-position model. The record is from RNAcentral.
GACGUAGGGCGCGAGCGUUGUCCGGAUUUAUUGGGCGUAAAGGGCGCGUAGGCGGCGCCACAAGUCACUUGUGAAAACUCUGGGCUCAACUCAGAGCCUGCAAGCGAAACUGUGGUGCUGGAGUAUGGGAGAGGUGCGUGGAAUUCCCGGUGUAGCGGUGAAAUGCGUAGAUAUCUGGAGGAACACCGGUGGCGAAGGCGGCAUCCUGGACCGGCAUUGACGCUGAGGCGCGAAAGCCAGGGGAGCAAACGGG